ACUGGAUAAUUUUUUGUUAUGUUAUGCAACAUUCUUUCAAACUAUAGACAUUUGAGAACCAGUUUUCAUACACAACUCUUAAGCAAAUACUCAUAAUCUCAUCCUGCAAAGAGAAACUCAGCAAAAAAUUGUUUAAAAUCCAUAUGCUACAUAAGGAAAUUUACCUGGAGACAUUCUACCCUUUACUGAAAAUAGGCUAUACAAAGGUGAUGUUAAGGUGCACAUAUUCCUCACAUACUGGAAGCUUUAAGAGGGCUCAAAGCUAUUAAUAAUUUCCAAUUUGCAGCCCUCUCUUAAUGCUACUUCCUUUAACUUUUGGGUUGACUCCCAGGACUUUCAGAAAGUGAAUAGACUACCUGUGUGUAAGAGAUUUUGGAUAAGGCUGCAACUGACUUCAUUGUUUGCAUUUUUUGGUCUGCAUUUCCUGCUAAUGUGAUUUGAAUAAGCCAAUUACAUUGAAAUUUGGUCCAUGGUCAUGCAAAUAAGUUCAUGAGUGCGGAUCUCUCUCUUCUGUGGAUUUAAGUGCUCCGAAGUGAUUCCAAAUGAAGUCAAACAGUUGGGAUUUUUUCAGUAAAUUAUAUUCCAAGCAAAGAACAACAAUCUCUGUUCUCACUGAGGGAGACAUUCCUGAGACACCACAGUAGUGCUCCAUGUGCAAAUGCUGAAUUCCUCAAUUAGUCUGUAAACAAUGGAGAUGUGGGCUAAAUGGAAAGAUUUGCCAAAUUUGCUGAGUUAUGAAGUACCCUAGAAAAUGUGUGAUUACAAAACAAGCUUGUUUUACAUAGGAGGAUUUCUGACACCAUAGUGACAGCAAUAACACAAACCUCAAAGUAAGUAGAUCAUUGUUUAU
Molecule: long non-coding RNA, 850 nt
Organism: Serinus canaria (Common canary)
Lineage: Eukaryota; Metazoa; Chordata; Aves; Passeriformes; Fringillidae
Exons: 3
Source: RefSeq, a predicted model, not a curated record